This is a non-coding RNA of Ceratotherium simum simum (southern white rhinoceros), 93 nucleotides long. The record is from RefSeq and is a predicted model, not a curated record. Lineage: Eukaryota; Metazoa; Chordata; Mammalia; Perissodactyla; Rhinocerotidae.
GCUCACAGCCUGACAUACAUAGAAUACAGUACUAUGGCACUGGCUAUUGAGAAAAGAAAGAGCUUUAUUGCAAGGUCGAUAAGCAAGGAAACA